UGAGCUCGAUGAGUAGGGCGGGACACGUGGUAUCCUGUCUGAAUAUGGGGGGACCAUCCUCCAAGGCUAAAUACUCCUGACUGACCGAUAGUGAACCAGUACCGUGAGGGAAAGGCGAAAAGAACCCCGGCGAGGGGAGUGAAAAAGAACCUGAAACCGUGUACGUACAAGCAGUGGGAGCACGCUUAGGCGUGUGACUGCGUACCUUUUGUAUAAUGGGUCAGCGACUUAUAUUCUGUAGCAAGGUUAACCGAAUAGGGGAGCCGAAGGGAAACCGAGUCUUAACUGGGCGUUAAGUUGCAGGGUAUAGACCCGAAACCCGGUGAUCUAGCCAUGGGCAGGUUGAAGGUUGGGUAACACUAACUGGAGGACCGAACCGACUAAUGUUGAAAAAUUAGCGGAUGACUUGUGGCUGGGGGUGAAAGGCCAAUCAAACCGGGAGAUAGCUGGUUCUCCCCGAAAGCUAUUUAGGUAGCGCCUCGUGAAUUCAUCUCCGGGGGUAGAGCACUGUUUCGGCAAGGGGGUCAUCCCGACUUACCAACCCGAUGCAAACUGCGAAUACCGGAGAAUGUUAUCACGGGAGACACACGGCGGGUGCUAACGUCCGUCGUGAAGAGGGAAACAACCCAGACCGCCAGCUAAGGUCCCAAAGUCAUGGUUAAGUGGGAAACGAUGUGGGAAGGCCCAGACAGCCAGGAUGUUGGCUUAGAAGCAGCCAUCAUUUAAAGAAAGCGUAAUAGCUCACUGGUCGAGUCGGCCUGCGCGGAAGAUGUAACGGGGCUAAACCAUG
This 790-nucleotide ribosomal RNA is filed under the name Escherichia coli. Its description in RNAcentral is "partial 23S ribosomal RNA". It matches the Rfam family "Bacterial large subunit ribosomal RNA", at positions 400 to 1191 of the family's 2925-position model. Lineage: Bacteria; Pseudomonadati; Pseudomonadota; Gammaproteobacteria; Enterobacterales; Enterobacteriaceae. The record is from RNAcentral.